Cavia porcellus (domestic guinea pig) is the source of this 3210-nucleotide long non-coding RNA. RefSeq lists it as uncharacterized. The transcript has 3 exons. NCBI's taxonomy places the organism in Eukaryota, Metazoa, Chordata, Mammalia, Rodentia, Caviidae. The record is from RefSeq and is a predicted model, not a curated record.
AUUCACCCCUCAUACCGGAACUGUCUGGUAUCCUCAGCAAUAUCUGAGACAAACCCUAGGAACCUGAGAUCUAAAGUAUAUCUAUCACACCAAACAGAUCCAUAGAAAUGGACACGAUUCUGCUCUGAUAAUGGUCACAAUGUCCACCUCUGUGCCCUGCAGUCUUCAGGUUGAACUUACUGAUUGGAGUUGUGAUCAUCAGCUGAUGGGCCGGCGAGAGAGAAGCACCCAGACACAAAGGAACCCAUUGGAACAUGUGUAACUCUGUCCCUCUGUGCUUGGCUGAGUGAAGUCAGUAAUGUUGACUCUUGUACAGUCUGCAACCACUGGACUUCCUGCACAGUCUCAGGACCUCUGUGUUCAUCUCUCACCUCUACAGAAGGAGGUUUUAAUGGGGAAGAAAUUCUACAACUCUGCUCAUUGAUCGCUUUAAAAUUGAUAGAAAUAUGCUUAGUAAUGAUUUGGUCAAUAUUUCCUCAGAUCAAUAAUAAUAACAACACACACCACCACCACCAGCAGGGACAACAACCACUCUACACUCAGAACUUGGUUUCUUGAAAAGAGACCAACUAAGCCUUCUGCCCUCAUAGACACAGCAUGCAAGAAAACAGAUAGGAAGAAAGAAUAUUAAUAUAAAAUACCAGGCACUAGGAGUCAGGUGACUGCAAUCUGAGGAACAGUCUGUCACUGGAAGGUCAGGUGGCUUUGGAUAAUUCCCGAGGUGGGACACAGGGACUCUAAUACAAAAUAAAGUUAUCUGAGGCCCCUUUGGCUGUCCGGUGCCAACACAGUGCCUCUGGUAGUGCGAAUUCUCCAAAGCACCAAAGAAAACAGAAGGGCUACAGAAAAAUACCAAAGUUUUCUAGUUCUUUAAAACUUCUUAAUUAUUAAACCUGUCACCUCCUUUUUUUAAACCCUAAAUGUAUAUCAUAAAACAUAUACAUACAUCAUAAAAUAAAACUUUCUUCACUUAUAACUACUUACUGGCUUAAAGAACCCAAAACCCCCAUGUGCCCUGUGCAGCUGUGCUAUGUCACGGGCAGUGCUGUGGAAGUGUGGAAGGACCACCAGUCAGAAACCCUGUAGGAGCCGCGGAACGUGGUGGUGCAAGCCUGUAAUCCCAGCACCGGGGAAGCUGAGGCAGGAGGAUAAUUGUGAGUUCGAGAUCGAUCUGGGCUACAAAGUAAAUUCAAGGCCAGUCUGAACUGCAUAGUGAGACCCUGUCUCAAACAUACAAAAAAGAAAGAAACCAGAAACCCUGUAGGAGGAGCCUAGGGCUGGGAAAGGAGCAGGGCGGGCUCAUCUCUAAGGUACUGCUCCUGUAGUACUAGAGUUGGGUCUUCUACUACUGUACACUCUCUAGUCUGAGCACACAAGAGAAGCAGCUAAGCGCCAGGGGCUAAAACCUUGUAUCUGCUCCAACAUUUUCUCCCUGUGACUAUGUCCACACUAAUGAGUGGCCCUAUGUCACUCAAAUGAUGACUACUUCUCAAACAGGCUGCACAAGCCAGACAUCUAAGGAGCCCUUAACCUCCUUCCUUCCUUCCUGUUCAGACUCACUGAGUAAGGCUCGCCUCUUCUCUUCCCUGACUCACCUUCCCCUGGGGCCAAAACCUUCUAGUGCCCCAACCUGUUUUGGCCUGUGAUAUAAACAACUUCCACACCCCACACACAGAAAGUCGGGUCAGAACUACAAUGAAAUUAUUUACAAACCUAUCCUAUAGCAUUUUAUUACAAUUGGCAGUCACCAGGGAUGAGGAAGGCAAAGGACUAAUGUGGCACACUCUAAUGCAGAGUGUCCCAGAGUCAGUGGUGUCCCCAGCAGGGACCCCUCCCUUCAGGGCCACCCUCCACUUGCAGACACACCCCUCUCAGAGGUGCAGAAAUCAACUGCGACCUGCCAGCCAACCAGCUCAGAUCCAAACAUCGGCUCAGGCUCCCCUGACUUUAUUCCAAGCACUGUGCUCUCUGCUUUCAACUGUACAGCAACCCUUUAAAUUCCCCUGCCAUGCAGCACACGGGGUAGCAUCAUUUCCAUUUUCCAAAUGAGCAAAUCACAUUCCUGACAGAAUAAGUGGCUUGCUCAAGUAAUUCAGACCAAAGUAUUGUGCUUUUGAGACCCUAUGUUCUUUGCAUUAUCUCACCGUGACCCAGGGAGACAACUAGCAACCAAAACCCACUGCACAUGGAAAUGCAGGCCUUCAGUGUUAUAAUGUGUGUCUCUUAAAUUUGUUCAUCCAACUCAACUAGAGACCUAUACACUUGUUAUAAAAAAUGCAAACCCAGGGUGGACAGCUCAAAAAAAGAAUCAUUUGCUGGAAACCUGUAAUAUGAACACUGACUUUAAAAGAAAGAAAGCAUUUCCAUUAUUCAGGCAGCUUUAAAAUAGUUUAUCCCCAAGUGACCUUUCUUUCACCACACACACACUCAGGGAAAAUAUAACAAACUAAAUUUGUAAAGCUUACAAAGUUACAAAGUUUAGCAUCCUCUGCUCCUGAUGGAGAUGCUAAAUGACAGGCAGAUGACCUAAAGAUGACAGGUGAGAAAAAAAUGAAACACUACAUAAUCCACAACACGUGAGGAAUUACUAAAUGACAGGUAUGGCGUGCCUCUGACCCAGGUGAUUGUCACUUUAUCUCCCAGAGCGACUUAAAUCUUAGAGAAAGAAGUGUGUGAAGUCUUGCCAAGGUGUGGGCUUUAUCAGGUAUUCAUAUCAGAUCCUUCCCCUCAGUCUUGGGAACAAGAAGACACUCAGACAGACACACCCUCAGGGAAAAGGCUGGAAAAGAACUGCUGGCCUUUGAAUGCAACACCCUCAGACUGUAACAAAGGAGUCUCUGAACUAAUCAAAUAACUUGUUCAUCAACCAGUGUCAGUACCAGAAUUAAGUUCUUUUAACAGAAUACACCAGUGCCAUCAGCGCUGCAUCGCUGGAACUUACAACUACUUAUCACCCACAAGGGGGUGUUCAGUAUCCAUUCACAUAUGGCAAGCCAGUAAAUACUAUACAGCACAGAAUGCUUACAGCUUGCCGCUUUGGCAAACCACUGAGGCAAACUGCCUGCCUUUAAAGCCCAAGAGACUUCUUACUUACAUCAUUUGUUUAUAUCCACAGAAACUGGCCAAGUGAUAAAUCUAUUCCACACUCAAAUUUCCCAAAAACAACGUUACAAAAACCAUCACCGCGUAAGAAUGGUAGUCGUACCUUCC